GACGAACGCUGGCGGCGUGCCUAAUACAUGCAAGUUGAGCGCUGAAGGUUGGUACUUGUAUCAACUGGAUGAGCAGCGAACGGGUGAGUAACGCGUGGGGAAUCUGCCUUUGAGCGGGGGACAACAUUUGGAAACGAAUGCUAAUACCGCAUAAAAACUUUAAACACAAGUUUUAAGUUUGAAAGAUGCAAUUGCAUCACUCAAAGAUGAUCCCGCGUUGUAUUAGCUAGUUGGUGAGGUAAAGGCUCACCAAGGCGAUGAUACAUAGCCGACCUGAGAGGGGGAGCGGCCACGUUGGGACUGAGACACGGCCCAAACUCCUACGGGAGGCAGCAGUAGGGAAUCUUCGGCAAUGGAAGCAAGUCUGAACGAGCGACGCCGCGUGAGUGAAGAAGGUUUUCGGAUCGUAAAACUCUGUUGGUAGAGAAGAACGUUGGUGAGAGUGGAAAGCUCAUCAAGUGACGGUAACUACCCAGAAAGGGACGGCUAACUACGUG
Molecule: ribosomal RNA, 497 nt
Filed under: uncultured bacterium
Lineage: Bacteria
Description: partial 16S ribosomal RNA
Rfam family: Bacterial small subunit ribosomal RNA
Source: RNAcentral